This 427-nucleotide ribosomal RNA is filed under the name uncultured bacterium. RNAcentral describes it as "bacterial SSU rRNA". It matches the Rfam family "Bacterial small subunit ribosomal RNA", at positions 355 to 775 of the family's 1533-position model. The record is from RNAcentral.
UCGAGAAUUUUUCUCAAUGGGGGAAACCCUGAAGGAGCGACGCCGCGUGGAGGAUGAAGGCUUUCGGGUUGUAAACUCCUGUCAUUUGAGAACAAGGGGCCGAACUUAACUACUUCGGCCUUGAUAGUAUCAGAAGAGGAAGGGACGGCUAACUCUGUGCCAGCAGCCGCGGUAAUACAGAGGUCCCGAGCGUUGUUCGGAUUCAUUGGGCGUAAAGGGUGCGUAGGUGGCGUGGUAAGUGGGGUGUGAAAUCCCGAGGCUUAACCUCGGGACUGCAUUCCAUACUGCCGUGCUUGAGGACUGGAGAGGAGACUGGAAUUUACGGUGUAGCAGUGAAAUGCGUAGAGAUCGUAAGGAAGACCAGUGGCGAAGGCGGGUCUCUGGACAGUUCCUGACACUGAGGCACGAAGGCCAGGGGAGCAAACGG